AGAUUGAACGCUGGCGGAAUGCUUUACACAUGCAAGUCGAACGGCAGCACGGGGGCAACCCUGGUGGCGAGUGGCGAACGGGUGAGUAAUAUAUCGGAACGUGCCCAGUAAUGGGGGAUAGCCCGGCGAAAGCCGGAUUAAUACCGCAUACGACCUACGGGUGAAAGCGGGGGAUCGCAAGACCUCGCGUUAUUGGAGCGGCCGAUAUCAGAUUAGCUUGUUGGACGGGUAAAAGCCCACCAAGGCAACGAUCUAGUAGCUGGUCUGAGAGGACGACCAGCCACACUGGGACUGAGACACGGCCCAGACUCCUACGGGAGGCAGCAGUGGGGAAUUUGGACGUAAGUGGGCGACGAAGGCCUGGAA
Molecule: ribosomal RNA, 366 nt
Filed under: uncultured soil bacterium
Lineage: Bacteria
Description: bacterial SSU rRNA
Rfam family: Bacterial small subunit ribosomal RNA
Source: RNAcentral